AGGUGCGAUCAUACCAGUGUUAAUGCAUCGGAUCCCAUCGAAACUCUGUAGUUAAGUGUGCUUGGGCUAGAGUAGUACAAGGAUGGGUUACCUCCAAGGAAGUCCUAGUGUUGCACCCU
Molecule: non-coding RNA, 119 nt
Organism: Picea glauca (white spruce)
Lineage: Eukaryota; Viridiplantae; Streptophyta; Pinopsida; Pinales; Pinaceae
Source: Rfam